GUGGGGAAUAUUGGACAAUGGGCGAAAGCCUGAUCCAGCCAUGCCGCGUGUGUGAAGAAGGUCUUCGGAUUGUAAAGCACUUUAAGUUGGGAGGAAGGGCAGUAAGUUAAUACCUUGCUGUUUUGACGUUACCAACAGAAUAAGCACCGGCUAACUUCGUGCCAGCAGCCGCGGUAAUACGAAGGGUGCAAGCGUUAAUCGGAAUUACUGGGCGUAAAGCGCGCGUAGGUGGAUUUGUACGUUGGAGGUGAAAUCCCCGGGCUCAACCUGGUAACUGCAUCAAAAACUGCAUGACUAGAGUACGGUAGAGGGUAGUGGAAUUUCCUGUGUAGCGGUGAAAUGCGUAGAUAUAGGAAGGAACACCAGUGGCGAAGGCGACUACCUGGACUGUUACUGACACUGAGGUGCGAAAGCGUGGGGAGCAAACAGGAUUAGAAACCCGAGUAGUCC
RNAcentral lists this ribosomal RNA (450 nucleotides) under uncultured bacterium. RNAcentral's name for it is "partial 16S ribosomal RNA". It matches the Rfam family "Bacterial small subunit ribosomal RNA", at positions 354 to 796 of the family's 1533-position model. The record is from RNAcentral.